CUCCUCGAUUUAUAUUUUAAUAUGGUCUUUAUUUUGUUGCAGAUGAACAUCAAGUGAUAAAAUCUAUUAGGUUGAAGGUUCAGGAUGUCCAUAACUUGGAGAAUGGAUCGCGCAUAAUUGUUGAAUGUGAUGAGUUUGCUCAACCUAUUGGAAAAUCAGCCGGCAUUCUUGCAGGAUUUUUGGGGGAGCUUGCUACAGAUCCUCGCUACUUUCCAAUUGGCUUUGAGAGUUGGGCAUUAAUGCCUAAACCUUUUGUGCACCGUGUUGUUAAUGAUUUCGUAUUGCCUCGGUUUUUCUUUAGGAGUGAUCAGCAAAAGG
This is a long non-coding RNA of Nicotiana attenuata, 318 nucleotides long. RefSeq lists it as uncharacterized. The record is from RefSeq and is a predicted model, not a curated record. Lineage: Eukaryota; Viridiplantae; Streptophyta; Magnoliopsida; Solanales; Solanaceae. The transcript is spliced from 2 exons.